AGAGUUUGAUCCUGGCUCAGAUUGAACGCUGGCGGCAUGCCUUACACAUGCAAGUCGAACGGCAGCACGGGUGCGUAACACGUGGGCAAUCUGCCCUCCGAUGGGGAAUAACCCCGCGAAAGCGGGGCUAAUACCGCAUAACAUUCCUUGGACUACGGUUUGAGGACUCAAAGCAGCAAUGCGUCGGAGGAGGAGCCCGC
RNAcentral lists this ribosomal RNA (200 nucleotides) under uncultured bacterium. RNAcentral describes it as "partial 16S ribosomal RNA". It matches the Rfam family "Bacterial small subunit ribosomal RNA", at positions 8 to 234 of the family's 1533-position model. The record is from RNAcentral.